Molecule: transfer RNA, 75 nt
Filed under: Armatimonadota bacterium
Lineage: Bacteria; Bacillati; Armatimonadota
Description: Armatimonadetes bacterium (activated sludge metagenome) tRNA-Thr
Rfam family: tRNA
About the family: Transfer RNA (tRNA) molecules are approximately 80 nucleotides in length. Their secondary structure includes four short double-helical elements and three loops (D, anti-codon, and T loops).
Source: RNAcentral
GCCGAUGUAGCUCAGCGGUAGAGCGGCGCACUCGUAAUGCGUAGGUCGAGGGUUCAAUUCCCUCCGUCGGCUCCA